AAUGACGCGCGAAGAAUUUAGAGUUUAAAGUGAGUAUAAUUUGAUGUUUCUAGAAUAAAUACUUAUUGUGUUUAACGCAAAUCAUUAUUGUUUUUAAAAAAAUGAUAAAUUUUAUGUGUACCUAUUUACGAAUCCAAUUUUACAAUGACAAUAUGAAUUUUGCAAAACAAAAAAAAUAUGUUUAGUUAAAAAAAUAAUUUUUUCUAAAAUUUCGUCGUCGUCCGGUAUGGUCUAGUGGCUAGGAUACCUGGCUCUCACCCAGGAGGCUCGGGUUCGAUUCCCGGUUCCGGAAUAAAUUUUUUUUCCGAUUUUUCAUUCUAUUAUAUUUCUCAUAUAUUUUAAAUUUGAGCGGAGUAGGAAAUUUAUUGAUUUUACAAUGGUGUUUAUUAUUUUUCUGUGAAAA
Cinara cedri is the source of this 403-nucleotide non-coding RNA. The record is from the annotation of a GenBank genome assembly. Lineage: Eukaryota; Metazoa; Arthropoda; Insecta; Hemiptera; Aphididae.